This 250-nucleotide ribosomal RNA is filed under the name uncultured bacterium. RNAcentral's name for it is "partial 16S ribosomal RNA". It matches the Rfam family "Bacterial small subunit ribosomal RNA", at positions 524 to 773 of the family's 1533-position model. The record is from RNAcentral.
UACGGAGGGGGCAAGCGUUGUUCGGAAUUAUUGGGCGUAAAGGGCGUGUAGGCGGCCGAUCAAGUCGGGUGUGAAAUCCCUCGGCUCAACCGAGGAAUUGCACUCGAUACUGGUUGGCUAGAGUCCGGGAGGGGGUGGCGGAAUUCCCAGUGUAGCGGUGAAAUGCGUAGAUAUUGGGAAGAACACCGGUAGCGAAGGCGGCCACCUGGACCGGAACUGACGCUGAGGCGCGAAAGCCAGGGGAGCGAAU